UUUGAAGGACUUUAUGGAUUUUCCCUUUUAUUUCCAUUUUAAAAUUCAUUUUAAAUACUUUUGUUGCAUUUUACUUCAUUUUAUAUUUGUUGACCUUUGCUGACUUUUGUUUGGCCUUGGAUCAUGGUUGUUUUGAUUAUAGGUCUCAUUAAACUCAAUGGAUCUUGGGUGUUGAUGGGGUGAAAACCCUAAUCCAUCAAAAUUGAUGAUUGAUUUUGAUGAUGACUUGAUCUAACAUUUAGUCCAAUUUGGGUGUGAUCUCUC
RNAcentral lists this long non-coding RNA (264 nucleotides) under Lathyrus oleraceus (garden pea). RNAcentral's name for it is "Pisum sativum (pea) long non-coding RNA (PSAT_LNC024108)". Lineage: Eukaryota; Viridiplantae; Streptophyta; Magnoliopsida; Fabales; Fabaceae. The record is from RNAcentral.